ACUUGUAUAGUUUAUAUAAAACCUUCCAUUUUCAAUGGAAAAAAAAGAAAUCUUUAUAAGUA
This 62-nucleotide transfer RNA is filed under the name Pachyphlegyas modiglianii. RNAcentral describes it as "tRNA-Glu". Lineage: Eukaryota; Metazoa; Arthropoda; Insecta; Hemiptera; Pachygronthidae. The record is from RNAcentral.